UAGGGAAUCUUCCACAAUGGACGAAAGUCUGAUGGAGCAACGCCGCGUGAGUGAAGAAGGGUUUCGGCUCGUAAAACUCUGUUGUUAAAGAAGAACAUAUCUGGGAGUAACUGUUCAGGUAUUGACGGGUAUUUUAACCAGAAAGCCACGGCUAAAUACGUGCCAG
Molecule: ribosomal RNA, 166 nt
Filed under: uncultured bacterium
Lineage: Bacteria
Description: partial 16S rRNA
Rfam family: Bacterial small subunit ribosomal RNA
Source: RNAcentral